GCCCAUCUUUAAUAGCUAACAAGAACUCUUUCUUUUCUUUACAAAUCCCAAAACCUUUACUAGACUUUUUCUGCUUCUUUAGCUUACUUCACCUAGAGUCUUCUACCUUUUCUUAUCAAUGAAUCAACCCCUUUUUUUUUCUUUUAAACACAUCCCAACCCAAAGUAUAAGCGCCCACCUAGUCCUAUCUAGUCUGAAAAAUGCGAACUAGAAGUACAUGAGACACUAUCUCUGUCGUUACGAACCUAACACUUUCUACCAAGCUUAAUCGGAAUAAGACCUCACAAACACUCACAAGUGAUAUAGGGCUCGAAAUAAAGUCUAGGUUUGGGUUUGGGUUAACUGCUCUAAUAAGGAGAGUCAACUACUUGGAUUAACAAGAGUGAUCAAAAUGAAUAAGAAAAUCCAAGUAUUUUAGGGUAUCCAUUCAAAUUUGAUGCAGAUAUGAUAAUUAAAGAUCAGAUUCAGGUUCAAAUUGAUAGGAAUGGUAUCAGAUGAUGACAGUGUGGUCGAGUAGAGCAAUCUAGGUAUGGUUCAGUUUUUUUUUUUCAAAUUCAUUGACUAUGCAACAGACAACUACCAACGAGGGCACUGAGUUUAUCUGGUGAAUCAAAAUGCUUACAAGGCUAUCUCAUCAUCAUCCCUUAUGCAUAUGCAACAGUCCUAAAUGAAACACUCAAGACUCGAUCCUAAAUGUAAUGCAACUACAUGAACACUCUUUUUUUGUGAAAUCAUUUUCUGAAAUUUUUC
RNAcentral lists this small RNA (750 nucleotides) under Arabidopsis thaliana (thale cress). RNAcentral describes it as "ATSL200290". Lineage: Eukaryota; Viridiplantae; Streptophyta; Magnoliopsida; Brassicales; Brassicaceae. The record is from RNAcentral.